GAGGGUGUAGCUCAAGUGGUAGAAAGCAUGCCUAGCAUGCACAAGGUUCUGGGUUCAAUUCCCAGUACCUCCG
This is a transfer RNA of Camelus ferus (Wild Bactrian camel), 73 nucleotides long. It matches the Rfam family "tRNA". From Rfam's summary of the family: Transfer RNA (tRNA) molecules are approximately 80 nucleotides in length. Their secondary structure includes four short double-helical elements and three loops (D, anti-codon, and T loops). NCBI's taxonomy places the organism in Eukaryota, Metazoa, Chordata, Mammalia, Artiodactyla, Camelidae. The record is from Rfam.